Cadophora sp. M221 is the source of this 102-nucleotide non-coding RNA. NCBI's taxonomy places the organism in Eukaryota, Fungi, Ascomycota, Leotiomycetes, Helotiales, Ploettnerulaceae. The record is from the annotation of a GenBank genome assembly.
GCGUUUGUGGUUUAGUGGUAAAAUCCAUCGUUGCCAUUUCGGUUUGAGUGAUUCAAUUCGAUCUGAUUCGAUGGGCCCCGGGUUCGAUUCCCGGCGAACGCA